RNAcentral lists this ribosomal RNA (760 nucleotides) under Bacillus amyloliquefaciens. Its description in RNAcentral is "bacterial SSU rRNA". It matches the Rfam family "Bacterial small subunit ribosomal RNA", at positions 73 to 817 of the family's 1533-position model. The record is from RNAcentral. Lineage: Bacteria; Bacillati; Bacillota; Bacilli; Caryophanales; Bacillaceae.
UGGGAGCUUGCUCCCUGAUGUUAGCGGCGGACGGGUGAGUAACACGUGGGUAACCUGCCUGUAAGACUGGGAUAACUCCGGGAAACCGGGGCUAAUACCGGAUGGUUGUUUGAACCGCAUGGUUCAGACAUAAAAGGUGGCUUCGGCUACCACUUACAGAUGGACCCGCGGCGCAUUAGCUAGUUGGUGAGGUAACGGCUCACCAAGGCAACGAUGCGUAGCCGACCUGAGAGGGUGAUCGGCCACACUGGGACUGAGACACGGCCCAGACUCCUACGGGAGGCAGCAGUAGGGAAUCUUCCGCAAUGGACGAAAGUCUGACGGAGCAACGCCGCGUGAGUGAUGAAGGUUUUCGGAUCGUAAAGCUCUGUUGUUAGGGAAGAACAAGUGCCGUUCAAAUAGGGCGGCACCUUGACGGUACCUAACCAGAAAGCCACGGCUAACUACGUGCCAGCAGCCGCGGUAAUACGUAGGUGGCAAGCGUUGUCCGGAAUUAUUGGGCGUAAAGGGCUCGCAGGCGGUUUCUUAAGUCUGAUGUGAAAGCCCCCGGCUCAACCGGGGAGGGUCAUUGGAAACUGGGGAACUUGAGUGCAGAAGAGGAGAGUGGAAUUCCACGUGUAGCGGUGAAAUGCGUAGAGAUGUGGAGGAACACCAGUGGCGAAGGCGACUCUCUGGUCUGUAACUGACGCUGAGGAGCGAAAGCGUGGGGAGCGAACAGGAUUAGAUACCCUGGUAGUCCACGCCGUAAACGAUGAGUGCU